GUGCUCACUUCGGCAGCACAUAUACUAAAACUGGAAUGAUACAGAGAAGAUUAGCAUGGCCCCUGUGCAAGGAUGACACGCAAAUCUGUGAAGCGUUCCAUAUUUUU
Bos indicus x Bos taurus (hybrid cattle) is the source of this 107-nucleotide small nuclear RNA. The record is from Ensembl. NCBI's taxonomy places the organism in Eukaryota, Metazoa, Chordata, Mammalia, Artiodactyla, Bovidae.